This 253-nucleotide ribosomal RNA is filed under the name uncultured bacterium. RNAcentral's name for it is "partial 16S ribosomal RNA". It matches the Rfam family "Bacterial small subunit ribosomal RNA", at positions 524 to 776 of the family's 1533-position model. The record is from RNAcentral.
UACGUAGGGGGCAAGCGUUGUCCGGAUUUAUUGGGCGUAAAGAGCGUGUAGGCGGCCAUACAGGUCAGCUGUGAAAACUCGAGGCUCAACCUCGAGACGUCGGUUGAAACCGUAUGGCUAGAGUCCGGAAGAGGAGAGUGGAAUUCCCGGUGUAGCGGUGAAAUGCGCAGAGAUCGGGAAGAACAUCGGUGGCGAAAGCGCUCUACUGGACCGCAACUGACACUCAGGGACGAAAGCUAGGGGAGCGAAUGGG